Molecule: ribosomal RNA, 164 nt
Filed under: Suaeda australis
Lineage: Eukaryota; Viridiplantae; Streptophyta; Magnoliopsida; Caryophyllales; Amaranthaceae
Description: 5.8S ribosomal RNA
Rfam family: 5.8S ribosomal RNA
About the family: 5.8S ribosomal RNA (5.8S rRNA) is a component of the large subunit of the eukaryotic ribosome. It is transcribed by RNA polymerase I as part of the 45S precursor that also contains 18S and 28S rRNA. Functionally, it is thought that 5.8S rRNA may be involved in ribosome translocation.
Source: RNAcentral
AUAAUGACUCUCGGCAACGGAUAUCUUGGCUCUCGCAUCGAUGAAGAACGUAGCGAAAUGCGAUACUUGGUGUGAAUUGCAGAAUCCCGUGAACCAUCGAGUCUUUGAACGCAAGUUGCGCCUGAAGCCUUUUGGCUAAGGGCACGUCUGCCUGGGCGUCACGC